GAUGAAGAACGUAGCGAAAUGCGAUAAGUAAUGUGAAUUGCGGAAUUCAGUGAAUCAUCGAAUCUUUGAACGCACAUUGCGCCCGCCAGUAUUCUGGCGGGCAUGCCUGUCUGAGCGUCAUUUCAACCCUCAUGCCCCUAGGGCGUGGUGUUGGGGAUCGGCCAAAGCCCGCGAGGGACGGCCGGCCCCUAAAUCUAGUGGCGGACCCGUCGUGGCCUCCUCUGCGAAGUAGUGAUAUUCCGCAUCGGAGAGCGACGAGCCCCUGCCGUUAAACCCCCAACUUUCCAAGGUUGACCUCAGAUCAGGUAGGAAUACCCGCUGAACUUAAGCAUAUCAAUAAGCGGAGGA
This 348-nucleotide unclassified non-coding RNA is filed under the name soil metagenome. RNAcentral's name for it is "partial contains 5.8S ribosomal RNA, internal transcribed spacer 2, and large subunit ribosomal RNA". The stretch from base 1 to 120 matches the Rfam family "5.8S ribosomal RNA", at positions 35 to 154 of the family's 154-position model. The record is from RNAcentral.